GCGCCGAUAGCUCAGCAGGAUAGAGCAACUGCCUUCUAAGCAGUAGGUCAGGGGUUCGAAUCCCUUUCGGCGUGCCA
Molecule: transfer RNA, 77 nt
Filed under: Oscillospiraceae bacterium
Lineage: Bacteria; Bacillati; Bacillota; Clostridia; Eubacteriales; Oscillospiraceae
Description: tRNA-Arg
Rfam family: tRNA
About the family: Transfer RNA (tRNA) molecules are approximately 80 nucleotides in length. Their secondary structure includes four short double-helical elements and three loops (D, anti-codon, and T loops).
Source: RNAcentral